AUUUCCUACGGGGGGCAGCAGUGAGGAAUAUUGGUCAAUGGGCGAGAGCCUGAACCAGCCAAGUCGCGUGAAGGAUGACGGCCCUACGGGUUGUAAACUUCUUUUGUCAGGGAGCAAUUGAGUCCACGUGUGGGCUUAGCGAGAGUACCUGAAGAAAAAGCAUCGGCUAACUCCGUGCCAGCAGCCGCGGUAAUACGGAGGAUGCGAGCGUUAUCCGGAUUUAUUGGGUUUAAAGGGUGCGCAGGCGGGAGAUCAAGUCAGCGGUAAAAUGUCGGGGCUCAACCCCGGCCGGCCGUUGAAAAUGG
RNAcentral lists this ribosomal RNA (305 nucleotides) under uncultured bacterium. Its description in RNAcentral is "bacterial SSU rRNA". It matches the Rfam family "Bacterial small subunit ribosomal RNA", at positions 334 to 636 of the family's 1533-position model. The record is from RNAcentral.